Salvia miltiorrhiza (redroot sage) is the source of this 1159-nucleotide long non-coding RNA. RefSeq lists it as uncharacterized. The record is from RefSeq and is a predicted model, not a curated record. The transcript is spliced from 2 exons. NCBI's taxonomy places the organism in Eukaryota, Viridiplantae, Streptophyta, Magnoliopsida, Lamiales, Lamiaceae.
UAAUCUCAUCUCGUUCAAUCAUUUACAAAUCUCAUGCUUAGUAAUUUAAUAUCUUGAAUUAAAUUCUAAGCUCAUUUAUCAAAAGUAUAAACUAUAUACUCAUUCAAUUUAUGAAACAACAUUACAUUUUCUUAGUCAUGUAUAUAAAUAAUAUAAAAUGAAGCCAUUUAAUAAGACAUUUUAAUUCCAUUAUAAUGGAAUUAUUCAUAAAACAAUCUAUUUCAUUUGAAAGAAUCCAUAUUAAUAAGUCCUUGAAAAUAAUUUAUUUAAUCAUAUCUUAAGGGCCUAGCCUAAAUAUUUUAUUUAAAAGUCCAUACAUUUCGUUUAAUGAAGUGGGCUCAAUUUAAUAUAUAAAUUAAAAGACCCAACAUAAAAUUGAAUCACUCAAGCCCAUCAAAUUCAAUUAAGAGCCCAAUCAAAUAAAAUAUAAGGCCCAAACAAUUAAAUAAAUAAGCCCAUCAGAUUUCUUCCUAAUAACAAAGUCCAAGGCCCAAACCCAUUUUAAUUAAAGAAGGGCCCAAGCCCAAUCUCCCCCUUUAACCUAAUUAACACACACUAUACUCAUUCAGCACACACACGCACACAAUGCGCCGCACCUUCUCUCUCGGCCGGCUCUCUGCCGCCGCCGCUCAACGGCGGCGUCGGCUGCCUCCACCUCCCCUCUCUCAACGUCUCUCUCUCGCUCAUCCCUCCCGAUCCCUCUCUGUCUCUGCCGGAAACAGGCGGCAGACGCCACCGCCGCCUGCCCCCUUCUCCCUCUGUCCCACUGAAAUCAUCUAACUUCUUCCCUCUCUCUCCGAUUCGGCCUGAACGGAGACAACGGCGACAUCGCCGCCGCCACGUGACCGCUGGCGACGACGACGAGCCACCGCGACCUGAUUUCGCCAGAUCGGAGGCAACGGCAGUUUCACCGCCGCCGGCGACGAGCCUCCGCGGCUGCCGCCUCCCUGACUCCAUCACUCACACACACAUAACAGGGCUCAGCCCGAUUUCCAGUCAAGGAGAUAUAAAAAAAUAGGGUUUUUUUGCUGAGUUCAAUUUCAAGACUGUAAACGUUCUUCAUUUAUAAUUUGUACUAACACAUUGUAUACUGUAAUUUCAGUUUGAACAAGCUUAAACAUAGAACAUGAAUAUCAAAUAAUUGUGUGUGUUUGGGAUC